Molecule: ribosomal RNA, 1535 nt
Filed under: Faecalibacterium sp. Marseille-Q4164
Lineage: Bacteria; Bacillati; Bacillota; Clostridia; Eubacteriales; Oscillospiraceae
Description: partial 23S ribosomal RNA
Rfam family: Bacterial large subunit ribosomal RNA
Source: RNAcentral
AAGCGGCUGUGGAGUGUAUAGAAGUGAGAAUGCCGGAAUGAGUAGCGCGAAUGCAGUGAGAAUCUGCAUGGCCGAAAGCCUCAGGUUUCUGGAGGAAGGUUCGUCCGCUCCAGGUUAGUCGGGAGCUAAGGUGAGGCCGGAAGGCGUAGCCGAUGCACAGACGGUAGAGAUUCCGUCACCACCAAAAGAGUUAAGCACAGGGACACAUAUGAAGUCUCAGAGCCGGGUGUUGGUUCCGGUAGAGAUCGAGGGAAAUUAGUACCGAAGUCUGAGAUGGAAGAUGGCGAGAAAAGCUGUGUGUAUUUCUGAGGUGCCCGUACCGCAAACCGACACAGGUAGGUAGGAAGAAGAUUCUAAGGCCAACGGGAGAAGGGUUGUUAAGGAACUCGGCAAAUUGACCCCGUAACUUCGGGAGAAGGGGUGCUCCAGAGAUGGAGCCGCAGAGAAUCGGCCCAAGCAACUGUUUACCAAAAACACAGGUUUGUGCUAAAUCGAAAGAUGACGUAUACGAGCUGACGCCUGCCCGGUGCUGGAAGGUUAAGAGGAGAUGUGCAAGCAUUGAAUCGAAGCCCCAGUGAACGGCGGCCGUAACUAUAACGGUCCUAAGGUAGCGAAAUUCCUUGUCAGGUAAGUUCUGACCCGCAUGAAAGGCGUAAUGAUUUGGGCACUGUCUCAACAGCCCGCCCGGCGAAAUUGUAGUACCGGUGAAGAUGCCGGUUACCCGCGACAAGACGGAAAGACCCCAUGGAGCUUUACUGUAGCCUAAUAUUGGGUUUCGAUGUUGCAUGCACAGGAUAGAUGGGACUCUGGGAAACCAAGGCUUUGGCUUUGGCGGAGAGGCCGUUGGGAUACCAUCCUUGCGAUAUUGGAAUUCUAACCUGCGGCUCUGAAUCGAGUCGGGGGACAUUGUUAGGUGGGCAGUUUGACUGGGGCGGUCGCCUCCUAAAGAGUAACGGAGGCGUUCAAAGGUUCGCUCAGCUUGAACGGAAAUCAAGCAAAAGAGUGCAAACGCAGAAGCGAGCCUAACUGCGAGACUGACGGGUCGAGCAGUAACGAAAGUUGGAGUUAGUGAUCCGGUGGUAUGUGAGUGGAAAUGCCAUCGCUCAACGGAUAAAAGUUACCCUGGGGAUAACAGGCUGAUCUCCCCCAAGAGUCCACAUCGACGGGGAGGUUUGGCACCUCGAUGUCGGCUCAUCGCAUCCUGGGGCUGUAUUCGGUCCCAAGGGUUUGGCUGUUCGCCAAUUAAAGCGGUACGCGAGCUGGGUUCAGAACGUCGUGAGACAGUUCGGUCCCUAUCUGUCGUGGGCGCAGGAUAUUUGAUGGGAGCUGUCCCUAGUACGAGAGGACCGGGACGGACGUACCUCUGGCGCACCAGUUGUUCCGCCAGGAGCAUAGCUGGGCAACUACGUACGGAUCGGAUAAACGCUGAAAGCAUCUAAGCGUGAAGCCGACCCAAAGAUAAGAUAUCCCACUGAUUGAAUCAGGUAAGAUCCCUUGUAGACUACGAGGUUGAUAGGCACGAUGUGUAAGUGGAG